Molecule: unclassified non-coding RNA, 277 nt
Filed under: Hevea brasiliensis (rubber tree)
Lineage: Eukaryota; Viridiplantae; Streptophyta; Magnoliopsida; Malpighiales; Euphorbiaceae
Source: RNAcentral
GAUUUGUGCUUUAUGUGGUGAAGGUAAUUAUGUUACUGCUUUCUUCAUUUUCUCCCUCUUUUAAUUAGCUUAUGCUGAUAAAAUUUUGGAUUAUACAGCAGUUUAUUGGAUUUAUUGGUUAGAGGUCAUGGUGCAUAUUUGUUUUGGAAACUGCUAUCUUCUUUCUGUCUUCUUUUUAUCUUUGGAUAAACUUUUUGAUGUUUAAUUAUCAAUAGUUGGUUACAUUUUGUAAUAAUAUUAUGUCUCAUUUGCCAAAUAUCAGGAAUUUGAGCCCAUA